GUCUAUUUGAAGUUAUAAAAAGUCUAACCUGCCCACUGAUUAAAAUUUUUAAGGGCCGCGGUAUUAUGACCGUGCAAAGGUAGCAAAGUCAUUAGGUUUUUAAAUGGGAUCUUGUAUGAAUGGUUGAACAAAGAAAAUACUGUCUUUAUUUUAAAAUUUGAAUUUUACUUUUAAGUGAGAAGGCUUAAAUAUUUUAGAGGGACGAUAAGACCCUAUAAAGCUUUACAUUGUAAUAUAUAUUUGAUUAAAUUUAAAAAAUAAAAGUUUAAUAUAAUUGUUUGUUUUAUUGGGGAGAUAGAGGUAUAAAUAAUAUUAACUGCUUUUAAUAAAGACAUUUAUUUAUGAAUUAUAUUGUAAUGGAUCCUUACAAAUAAAGAAUUAAAGAUUAAGUUACUUUAGGGAUAACAGUGUAAUUUUUUUUAAGAGUUCAUAUCGAAAAAAAAGUUUGCAACCUCGAUGUUGAAUUAAGAUAUCUAUAUAAUGUAGCCGUUAUUUAAGAGGGUCUGUUCGACCUUU
RNAcentral lists this ribosomal RNA (516 nucleotides) under Parathelphusa bogorensis. RNAcentral's name for it is "partial 16S ribosomal RNA". It matches the Rfam family "Bacterial large subunit ribosomal RNA", at positions 1832 to 2589 of the family's 2925-position model. The record is from RNAcentral. Lineage: Eukaryota; Metazoa; Arthropoda; Malacostraca; Decapoda; Gecarcinucidae.